GUUUAUCUUGAAAUGUGUUUAUUAUUUUUGGGUUUGACUCACAGCCGCUGUCAUCAACUAACACAUCUAAACAAAAGUAUCUACACGUUUAACAUACUCAGUUAUCGUUCACACACGUUACAGUGAAAUUUUGUUUAACUAGUCACGGCAUUCUGUUUUUGGAUCUCCGUUGUCACUUGGCAUACAGACAUAAUAUAUUACGUACCGAUCUAUUUGAAUUUAAAUUCUAGAGUUUAAGUUAGUACGUAUUUAGAUUCUGAGUGGAGUGAAGAAGCUUACGGUUUU
Molecule: non-coding RNA, 285 nt
Organism: Cinara cedri
Lineage: Eukaryota; Metazoa; Arthropoda; Insecta; Hemiptera; Aphididae
Source: the annotation of a GenBank genome assembly